RNAcentral lists this long non-coding RNA (573 nucleotides) under Prunus dulcis (almond). Its description in RNAcentral is "sRNA ncRNA". The record is from RNAcentral. Lineage: Eukaryota; Viridiplantae; Streptophyta; Magnoliopsida; Rosales; Rosaceae.
AACCAAUAGCUGGUAAAUAACCAAUGAAUUUAGCAUUCCAAGCCCUUGGAGCUUGCUUAAGACCAUAAAGAGAUUUCUUUAAUUGACACAAAAACUCUGGAUGUGCAGAAUCUUCAAAACCAGGGGUUGCCUCAUGAAAACGUCUUCUUCAAUAUCUCCGUGUAAAAAUGCAUUUUUAACAUCUAACUGUCUUAAAGACCAUUUGUUCAUAGCUGCAAUACUCAGAAUUAAUCAAACUGUAGUAUGCCUAACUACAGGACUUAAAGUCUCACUAAAAUCCAAUCCAGGCUCCUGACUAAAUCCUUGAGCUACCAGACGUGCCUCAUGCCUAGAAACAAUUCCAUCUAAGUUCCUUUUAAUCCAGUAAACCUGCCAACAACAUUUUUAUGGCAUGGUUUUGGAACUAAAAUCCAAGUACCCUGCAUAUGUAAUGCAUCAAGUUUUCCUGCAUAGCUUUAAUCCACACUGGAGAUUAAGAAGCUAACUUAUAAGUUGCAGGCUCAGUUUCAUCAGGCAGUGAAGGAAUAGAGGUAUAAUAGCAUUGAUAAUCAGAAAAAUGCUUUCUACAAACAA